RNAcentral lists this ribosomal RNA (446 nucleotides) under uncultured bacterium. RNAcentral's name for it is "SSU rRNA". It matches the Rfam family "Bacterial small subunit ribosomal RNA", at positions 26 to 518 of the family's 1533-position model. The record is from RNAcentral.
AGAACGAACGCUGGCGGCAUGCCUAACACAUGCAAGUCGAACGAGACCUUCGGGUCUAGUGGCGCACGGGUGCGUAACGCGUGGGAAUCUGCCCUUGGGUACGGAAUAACAGUUAGAAAUGACUGCUAAUACCGUAUAAUGACGUAAGUCCAAAGAUUUAUCGCCCAGGGAUGAGCCCGCGUAGGAUUAGCUUGUUGGUGAGGUAAAGGCUCACCAAGGCGACGAUCCUUAGCUGGUCUGAGAGGAUGAUCAGCCACACUGGGACUGAGACACGGCCCAGACUCCUACGGGAGGCAGCAGUGGGGAAUAUUGGACAAUGGGCGAAAGCCUGAUCCAGCAAUGCCGCGUGAGUGAUGAAGGCCUUAGGGUUGUAAAGCUCUUUUACCCGGGAUGAUAAUGACAGUACCGGGAGAAUAAGCUCCGGCUAACUCCGUGCCAGCAGCCGC